This 261-nucleotide long non-coding RNA is filed under the name Lathyrus oleraceus (garden pea). Its description in RNAcentral is "Pisum sativum (pea) long non-coding RNA (PSAT_LNC026897)". Lineage: Eukaryota; Viridiplantae; Streptophyta; Magnoliopsida; Fabales; Fabaceae. The record is from RNAcentral.
UUUUGUUUGUGCAAACAUGAUUGAAGAGAUGAGAGGAGAAUGUACAAGUUUAUUUACAUUUUUGUGUUUGGAUGGAUAAACCCAUUGCCUACGUACCAUCUUAUAAAAAGAUUAGGAUCAAAACCUCAUAGUUCGGGAUAAAAAUCUCAAAAUGAGUUGGUGAGUUGAUUGGUCCAAAAGCCUUAAGGUCUUUUGUUAUCUAAGGGAGAAAGCUCAACCAAACCACAAAUCCACCAUGUGAGGAUAACUUCAACAUGCUAG